Molecule: ribosomal RNA, 253 nt
Filed under: uncultured prokaryote
Description: partial 16S ribosomal RNA
Rfam family: Bacterial small subunit ribosomal RNA
Source: RNAcentral
GACAGAGGGUGCAAACGUUGUUCGGAAUCACUGGGCGUAAAGCGCAUGUAGGCGGCAGCGCAAGUCGGAUGUGAAAUCCCGCGGCUCAACCGUGGAAGUGCACCCGAAACUGCGCAGCUAGAGUAUCGGAGAGGAAAGUGGAAUGCUUGGUGUAGAGGUGAAAUUCGUAGAUAUCAGAAGGAACAUCAGUGGCGAAGGCGGCUUCCUGGACCAAUACUGACGAUCAGGUGCGAAAGCGUGGGGAGCAAACAGG